GCUAAAUACUCCUGAGAGACCGAUAGUGAACCAGUACCGUGAGGGAAAGGUGAAAAGCACUUCGAACAGAAGAGUGAAAUAGUCCCUGAAACCAUGUGCCUACAAGCGGUCGGAGCACCUUCUGGUGUGACGGCGUGCCUUUUGCAUAAUGAGCCUACGAGUUACUCAUCACCAGCGAGGUUAAGUACUUCAGGUACGUAAGCCGAAGCGAAAGCGAGUCUGAAUAGGGCGUAUAGUCGGAAGGAGUAGACGCGAAACCAAGUGAUCUACCCUUGGGCAGGUUGAAGGAUGGGUAACACCAUCUGGAGGACCGAACCAAUAAGCGUUGAAAAGCUUCUGGAUGACCUGAGGGUGGGGGUGAAAGGCUAAUCAAACUCGGAGAUAGCUCGUACUCCCCGAAAUGCAUUUAGGUGCAGCCUCUUUAUAGUAUAUCGUGAGGUAGAGCGACUGAUUGGAUGCGAGGGCUUCACCGCCUAUCAAGUCCGGACAAACUCCGAAUGCUAGAACAUGAAGACAGGGAGUGAGCCAGCGGGUGCUAAGGUCCGUUGACGAAAGAGGGAGAACUCAGACCAUCAGCUAAGGUCCCCAAUUGUAUGCUAAGUUGGAAUUAAAACGGGGUGGGACUGCUUAGACAGCUAGGAUGUUGGCUUGGAAGCAGCCAUUCAUUUAAAGAGUGCGUAACAGCUCACUAGUCGAGCGGUCCUGCAUGGAUAAUACGCGGGCAUAAGCAUAUAACCGAAGCUAUGGGAUUGUAGAUGAUACAAUCGGUAGGAGAGCAUUCCAUUCAGCGUAGAAGCAGUACCGUGAGGUAUUGUGGAGCGGAUGGAAAAGCAAAUGUAGGCAUAAGUAACGAUAAUGCGGGUGAGAACCCCGCACGCCGAAAGAUCAAGGAUUCCCCGGCAAUGUCAAUCAUCCGGGGGUAAGUCGGAUCCUAAGGGUAAGCCGAGUGGCGAUCCCGAUGGCAAACAGGUUAAUAUUCCUGUACUGAUCAUAACUGCGAUGCAGCGACGCAGAGGUGACACUGCUGCGUACUGACGGAAUAGUACGUUGAAACCCGUAUUCUUUGAUACCGGUAGUGAAGCACGCCGGUAGAGAUGAAAGGUGAUAGUACCGCAAUGCUUCGGUUGCGCGGAUAACGCAGGUAAGCUGACUGCCAAGAAAACCUGCUAAGCUUCAGGUAAUGAUCAUCCGUACUGUAAACGGACACACGUGAUCAGGUAGAAAAUACUAAGGCGCUCGAGAGAUUCAUGGUUAAGGAACUAGGCAAAAUGACCCUGUAACUUCGGGAUAAAGGACGCUCUUGUGAAAGAGCCGCAGAUAAUAGGCCCAGGCGACUGUUUACCAAAAACACAUGGCUAUGCUAAUUCGCAAGAAGAUGUAUAUGGCCUGACACCUGCCCGGUGCCGGAAGGUUAAGAGGAGAGCUCAGAGGCAACUCGAAGGUUUGAAUUGAAGCCCCGGUAAACGGCGGCCGUAACUAUAACGGUCCUAAGGUAGCGAAAUUCCUUGUCGGGUAAGUUCCGACCUGCACGAAUGGUGUAAUGAUCUGGGUACUGUCUCAACCAUGAGCUCGGUGAAAUUGUAGUUCCGGUGAAGAUGCCGGAUACCCGCAACGGGACGGAAAGACCCCGUGAACCUUUACUGCAGCUUUGCAUUGAUUUUGGGUAACAGAUGUGUAGGAUAGGUCGGAGGCUUUGAUGCUGCGUCGUCAGGCGUAGAGUAGCCGUCGUUGAAAUACGACCCUUUUGUUAUCUGAGGUCUAAUCCCGUUAGGGAGACAUUGCAUGGUGGGUAGUUUGACUGGGGUGGUCGCCUCCAAAAGCGUAACGGAGGCUUCUAAAGGUGCCCUCAGACCGAUUGGUAACCGGUCGCAGAGUGUAAUGGCAUAAGGGCGCUUGACUGGGAGAGAUACAACUCGAUCAGGUAGGAAACUAGAGCAUAGUGAUCCGGUGGUUCCGCAUGGAAGGGCCAUCGCUCAACGGAUAAAAGCUACCCCGGGGAUAACAGGCUUAUCUCCCCCAAGAGU
RNAcentral lists this ribosomal RNA (2024 nucleotides) under Turicibacter sanguinis. RNAcentral describes it as "partial 23S ribosomal RNA". It matches the Rfam family "Bacterial large subunit ribosomal RNA", at positions 465 to 2499 of the family's 2925-position model. The record is from RNAcentral. Lineage: Bacteria; Bacillati; Bacillota; Erysipelotrichia; Erysipelotrichales; Turicibacteraceae.